AUCUUGCUGAAAGCCCGAACUAAAGGAAGCUGUGUUUGGACAACAGGCACAAUUUGGGGUGGUGGCACAGGGCCACACACCUCCGGUUACCCCUUGGAUCAACCACAGGUAACCUAUGCAUGUGGCACAAAGUUCAAAAAAUACAAAAGGAUGUACGUUGAAAACUUGUCAAGAGACACAGUUACCAUUCUUGUGCAGGCCUCCAGAAACAACAUAUGAACAACUAAGCAAACACGGCUAAGCUCUUUCCCUCUCAAAUGGCAGUAUUCCAAGCAUGCUUCUCUGCACUUGC
This 292-nucleotide small RNA is filed under the name Pan troglodytes (chimpanzee). RNAcentral describes it as "processed transcript". Lineage: Eukaryota; Metazoa; Chordata; Mammalia; Primates; Hominidae. The record is from RNAcentral.